RNAcentral lists this ribosomal RNA (121 nucleotides) under Lepisosteus oculatus (spotted gar). Lineage: Eukaryota; Metazoa; Chordata; Actinopteri; Semionotiformes; Lepisosteidae. The record is from RNAcentral.
GCCAGCAGCCAUAUCACCCUGCAGCUCUCAACUGGCUACCCCCUGAAGUUAAGCAGGGUUGAGCCUGGUCAGUGGAGACCUGGAUGGGAGACCUCCUGGCAAGCUAUGGUUGCUACUGGAA